RNAcentral lists this ribosomal RNA (254 nucleotides) under uncultured bacterium. RNAcentral's name for it is "partial 16S ribosomal RNA". It matches the Rfam family "Bacterial small subunit ribosomal RNA", at positions 524 to 776 of the family's 1533-position model. The record is from RNAcentral.
UACGAAGGGGGCUAGCGUUGUUCGGAUUUACUGGGCGUAAAGCGCACGUAGGCGGAUUGUUAAGUCAGGGGUGAAAUCCCCAGAGCUCAACUCUGGAACUGCCUUUGAUACUGGCAAUCUCGAGUCCGGAAGAGGUGAGUGGAACUCCUAGUGUAGAGGUGGAAUUCGUAGAUAUUAGGAAGAACACCAGUGGCGAAGGCGGCUCACUGGUCCGGAACUGACGCUGAGGUGCGAAAGCGUGGGGAGCAAACAGG